CUUCAGUAACUGUCACGCCUACAAGGCAGGGCCAAGAGAGGACCCUAAAGACCCAACAUCUGGAUGUGCCGCCUCUCUUGUGUCCUGGACCCCGGAUGCUGGAGGUAGACCGAGCAGAGUUCUCCAGAGAACACCGCCAUACUGUGCUACGUCUUCCCCAGACCCUGCAACCUAUCUAUCCCUUCAUUUGGAAGUCAUUUAAACCCCCAAGAGGAACACACGCUGAGAAAAGCAAAGAUUGUUCUACCAGAAAACUGCUCUGAGAAGGUCAAAGUUAGAAAACAAGCUACUAUACUGGAUGGAUGAAUAACUUACGAAAAGCAUCUCUGUGCAGAGAUGAAAAGGAAAGCACAAUGUGCUAAGGUCAAGGCAGAAGAGAAAGAAAACUUUCUUUGAAGAGCCAAGCAGAGAAUUAUUCCACAAAGAAAGCUACACUACAAAGUGGACUGAGCACGGCUGCCUGUGUGGACCCCAUGUUAGAGAAGUUGACCUUCCACAGUGAGGAUGCUGUCUGUGUAAACGGAAGUUGGACAGCAGUGGCUGUCUAUGGAAUCUCUCCGGUGACACCUUUGCAGUUCUGUCACCAUUCACCACACUUCGCUAAAGUAAGCUAGAGACAUUGUCUAGGCAUUCCUCAGCACCAAUGAGGUGCUUGGAGAGAGAACCUUUCAAGGAUUCAGGUCACAACCAGUCCCAGGGCUCCUCAACUACCAUAUCACUAAACUCACUAAGAGGUAUUUUAGAUGUUUGCUCAUUGUCAAUCCCAUAAAAAUUUAAUUCCAAA
This is a long non-coding RNA of Peromyscus eremicus (cactus mouse), 784 nucleotides long. RefSeq lists it as uncharacterized. The transcript has 3 exons. NCBI's taxonomy places the organism in Eukaryota, Metazoa, Chordata, Mammalia, Rodentia, Cricetidae. The record is from RefSeq and is a predicted model, not a curated record.